UAGAUGUUGCUUUGUACAUGC
Molecule: non-coding RNA, 21 nt
Organism: Caenorhabditis elegans
Lineage: Eukaryota; Metazoa; Nematoda; Chromadorea; Rhabditida; Rhabditidae
Source: Ensembl